UGGGGAAUAUUGCGCAAUGGCCGAAAGGCUGACGCAGCGACGCCGCGUGGGGGAUGAAGCAUUUCGGUGUGUAAACCCCUGUUGCUCGGGACGAACAACUGGAUUCUUCCAGUCUGACGGUACCGGGUGAGGAAGCACCGGCUAACUCCGUGCCAGCAGCCGCGGUAAUACGGAGGGUGCGAGCGUUGUCCGGAAUCACUGGGCGUAAAGGGCGCGUAGGCGGUCUGCUAAGCGUGUGGUGAAAGCUCGGGGCUCAACCCCGAGUCUGCCAUGCGAACUGGUGGACUGGAGCACUGUAGAGGCAGGUGGAAUUCCGGGUGUAGCGGUGGAAUGCGUAGAGAUCCGGAAGAACACCAGUGGCGAAGGCGGCCUGCUGGGCAGUUGCUGACGCUGAGGCGCGAUAGCGUGGGGAGCAAACAGG
RNAcentral lists this ribosomal RNA (421 nucleotides) under uncultured Gemmatimonas sp. Its description in RNAcentral is "bacterial SSU rRNA". It matches the Rfam family "Bacterial small subunit ribosomal RNA", at positions 355 to 776 of the family's 1533-position model. Lineage: Bacteria; Pseudomonadati; Gemmatimonadota; Gemmatimonadia; Gemmatimonadales; Gemmatimonadaceae. The record is from RNAcentral.